RNAcentral lists this unclassified non-coding RNA (217 nucleotides) under soil metagenome. Its description in RNAcentral is "partial contains 5.8S ribosomal RNA, internal transcribed spacer 2, and large subunit ribosomal RNA". The record is from RNAcentral.
AACAAGGCGUACCUGCGGACCUGCGGAGGGAUCAUUACAGAGUGUAAAAACUCCCAAAACCCAUGUGAACAUACCUUUUUGUUGCUUCGGCGGGAUCGCCCCGGGCGCCUUGUGUGCCCCGGAGUCAGGCGCCCGCCGGGGGACCCAAACUCUUGUUUUUAACGAGUAUCUUCUGAGUAACGUUUUUAAAUAAAUAAAAACUUUUAGCAAUGGAUCU